GACGAACGCUGGCGGCGUGCCUAAUACAUGCAAGUCGAACGCUGAAGGAGGAGCUUGCUUCUCUGGAUGAGUUGCGAACGGGUGAGUAACGCGUAGGUAACCUGCCUGGUAGCGGGGGAUAACUAUUGGAAACGAUAGCUAAUACCGCAUAAGAGUAGAUGUUGCAUGACAUUUGCUUAAAAGGUGCAAUUGCAUCACUACCAGAUGGACCUGCGUUGUAUUAGCUAGUUGGUGGGGUAACGGCUCACCAAGGCGACGAUACAUAGCCGACCUGAGAGGGUGAUCGGCCACACUGGGACUGAGACACGGCCCAGACUCCUACGGGAGGCAGCAGUAGGGAAUCUUCGGCAAUGGACGGAAGUCUGACCGAGCAACGCCGCGUGAGUGAAGAAGGUUUUCGGAUCGUAAAGCUCUGUUGUAAGAGAAGAACGAGUGAGAGAGUGGAAAGUUCACACUGUGACGGUAUCUUACCAGAAAGGGACGGCUAACUACGUG
RNAcentral lists this ribosomal RNA (495 nucleotides) under uncultured bacterium. RNAcentral describes it as "partial 16S ribosomal RNA". It matches the Rfam family "Bacterial small subunit ribosomal RNA", at positions 28 to 507 of the family's 1533-position model. The record is from RNAcentral.